Leopardus geoffroyi (Geoffroy's cat) is the source of this 483-nucleotide long non-coding RNA. RefSeq lists it as uncharacterized. Lineage: Eukaryota; Metazoa; Chordata; Mammalia; Carnivora; Felidae. The transcript is spliced from 2 exons. The record is from RefSeq and is a predicted model, not a curated record.
UCUGCAUGUGCCCCUAUAAUUCCUGCAUAAUGAUACGCCUUAUUUCUGCUUUUGUUUCCCAGAAAUACCUAGCACAGCAAAGAUUCAGUAUCUGUAGACCUGGAUUUUCAUUACUAUUUUUUUUUUUCAGGUUGUCCUGCUCCUAUAUUAGUGUUUCAACCAAAUGGUAUGGCAUCUUUUUCCUCAGGCACCCAAAAAGCCUCCUCCCUUGCAGCAAGUUUAAAAAGAAACUUUGACGUGCUUGUAACUAAUGCGUCUGGAAAGUUGAUUUAACGAGAGGGAGGUGUUUGGAAAUCUGCAUUUUCACAACUGCUGCAGGUGAUUCUUGUGCACGCUUUGGUUUCCAGAUCACUCCCCCAAGCAGUCCACACCUACUCUAGUCACAGGCGGCCGAUCCUUCUCCAGCCACCUUUGCGGCAACCUGUCUGUUGGCCAAAUUCUCUCCUACUCCAGAAGCCAUGACUGAUACAGCUGCUCAAUGGA